UGGCUAGUCAGUAUUGAGCCGACUUAGCGUAAUUCAUUUUUACCGGGUCAUAUGACAAACUAUACCUCUUAUGCUUGUAGCCCUUAGGCUGUUGCGAGUAUGGUGGCGGUUGUCGGACCGUGCAGCUCCGAUAAUCGAAUUUCAGCCGAUUAACAUAAUGAUUUUGCCUAAGUCUCACGUUCAACUUGGCACCAUAGCUCUUGGCAGGUGC
RNAcentral lists this long non-coding RNA (211 nucleotides) under Elaeis guineensis (African oil palm). RNAcentral describes it as "long non-coding RNA (EGUI_LNC061160)". The record is from RNAcentral. Lineage: Eukaryota; Viridiplantae; Streptophyta; Magnoliopsida; Arecales; Arecaceae.